Molecule: ribosomal RNA, 253 nt
Filed under: uncultured bacterium
Lineage: Bacteria
Description: partial 16S ribosomal RNA
Rfam family: Bacterial small subunit ribosomal RNA
Source: RNAcentral
GACGUAGGGCGCGAGCGUUGUCCGGAUUUAUUGGGCGUAAAGAGCUCGUAGGCGGCUUGUCGCGUCGACUGUGAAAACCCGAGGCUCAACUUCGGGCUUGCAGUCGAUACGGGCAGGCUAGAGUUCGGUAGGGGAGACUGGAAUUCCUGGUGUAGCGGUGAAAUGCGCAGAUAUCAGGAGGAACACCGAUGGCGAAGGCAGGUCUCUGGGCCGAAACUGACGCUGAGGAGCGAAAGCGUGGGGAGCGAACAGG